CAUACCUAUUCGAAGGGAUAGGGUCGGUUUGGCCGGAUUUCACACAGGUGUUGCAUGGCUGUCGUCAGCUCGUGUCGUGAGAUGUUGGGUUAAGUCCCGCAACGAGCGCAACCCUCAUCCUUAGUUACCAUCAGGUUAUGCUGGGGACUUUAAGGAAACUGCCAGUGAUAAACUGGAGGAGGGUGGGGAUGAUGUCAAGUCAUCAUGGCCCUUAUGGAGUGGGCCACACACGUGCUACAAUGGUGAUUACAAUGGGCUGCAAGGUCGCAAGGCUGAGCUAAUCCUAAAAAAUCAUCUCAGUUCGGAUUGUUCUCUGCAACUCGAGAGCAUGAAGUUGGAAUCGCUAGUAAUCGUGGAUCAGCAUGCCACGGUGAAUACGUUCUCGGGUCUUGUACACACUGCCCGUCACGCCAUGGGAAUUGGUUUCACUCGAAGCU
Molecule: ribosomal RNA, 437 nt
Filed under: Wolbachia endosymbiont of Schoutedenia ralumensis
Lineage: Bacteria; Pseudomonadati; Pseudomonadota; Alphaproteobacteria; Rickettsiales; Anaplasmataceae
Description: bacterial SSU rRNA
Rfam family: Bacterial small subunit ribosomal RNA
Source: RNAcentral